AAUAGAGUGUCUGAUUAAAGUAAUAAAUUGUAAAUUUAUUUAAGGGGGUUUCUCCUCUAUUA
Molecule: transfer RNA, 62 nt
Filed under: Bambusiphaga maculata
Lineage: Eukaryota; Metazoa; Arthropoda; Insecta; Hemiptera; Delphacidae
Description: tRNA-Tyr
Source: RNAcentral